GACGGAGGUCCCAAGCGUUGUUCGGAAUCACUGGGCUUAAAGCGCGUGUAGGCGGAGCGGUAAGUACCUUGUGAAAUCCCCGGUCUCAACCCGGGAAUGGCUGGGUAUACUGUCGUUCUUGAGGCAGGCAGGGGUCACUGGAACCUUAGGUGGAGCGGUGAAAUGCGUAGAUAUCUAAGGGAACGCCGGUGGCGAAAGCGGGUGACUGGGCCUGUCCUGACGCUAAGACGCGAAAGCGUAGGGAGCAAACGGG
Molecule: ribosomal RNA, 253 nt
Filed under: uncultured bacterium
Lineage: Bacteria
Description: partial 16S ribosomal RNA
Rfam family: Bacterial small subunit ribosomal RNA
Source: RNAcentral